Molecule: ribosomal RNA, 433 nt
Filed under: uncultured bacterium
Lineage: Bacteria
Description: partial 16S ribosomal RNA
Rfam family: Bacterial small subunit ribosomal RNA
Source: RNAcentral
AACGAACGCUGGCGGCAUGCCUAACACAUGCAAGUCGAACGAGACCUUCGGGUCUAGUGGCGCACGGGUGCGUAACGCGUGGGAACCUGCCCUUAGGUUCGGAAUAACUCCCCGAAAGGGGUGCUAAUACCGGAUAAUGUCUUCGGACCAAAGAUUUAUCGCCUUUGGAUGGGCCCGCGUUGGAUUAGCUAGUUGGUAGGGUAAAAGCCUACCAAGGCGACGAUCCAUAGCUGGUCUGAGAGGAUGAUCAGCCACACUGGGACUGAGACACGGCCCAGACUCCUACGGGAGGCAGCAGUGGGGAAUAUUGGACAAUGGGCGAAAGCCUGAUCCAGCAAUGCCGGGUGAGUGAUGAAGGUCUUAGGGUUGUAAAGCUCUUUUACCCGGGAUGAUAAUGACAGUACCGGGAGAAUAAGCUCCGGCUAACUCCGUG